CCCUUAGAUGUUCUGGGCUGCACGCGCGCUACACUGAUGCGCUCAACGAGUUUAUAACCUUGUCCGGCAGGAUUGGGUAAUCUUUUUAAAACGCAUCGUGAUGGGGAUAGAUUAUUGCAAUUAUUAAUCUUCAACGAGGAAUUCCUAGUAAGCGCGAGUCAUCAGCUCGUGCUGAUUACGUCCCUGCCCUUUGUACACACCGCCCGUCGCUCCUACCGAUUGGAUGGUCCGGUGAAGCCUCGGGAUUGUGGUUCUUGCCGCUUUAUUGUGGCGUGACCGCGAGAACUUGUCUAAACCUUAUCAUCUAGAGGAAGGUGAAGUCGUAACA
Molecule: ribosomal RNA, 328 nt
Filed under: uncultured eukaryote
Lineage: Eukaryota
Description: partial 18S ribosomal RNA
Rfam family: Eukaryotic small subunit ribosomal RNA
Source: RNAcentral